AACGCUAGCUACAGGCUUAACACAUGCAAGUCGAGGGGAAACGACAUCGAAAGCUUGCUUUUGAUGGGCGUCGACCGGCGCACGGGUGAGUAACGCGUAUCCAACCUGCCCAUCACUUGGGGAUAACCUUGCGAAAGUAAGACUAAUACCCAAUGACGUCUCUAGAAGACAUCUGAAAGAGAUUAAAGAUUUAUCGGUGAUGGAUGGGGAUGCGUCUGAUUAGCUUGUUGGCGGGGUAACGGCCCACCAAGGCUACGAUCAGUAGGGGUUCUGAGAGGAAGGUCCCCCACAUUGGAACUGAGAUACGGUCCAAACUCCUACGGGAGGCAGCAGUGAGGAAUAUUGGUCAAUGGACGAGAGUCUGAACCAGCCAAGUAGCGUGCAGGAUGACGGCCCUAUGGGUUGUAAACUGCUUUUAUAAGGGAAUAAAGUGAGUCUCGUGAGACUUUUUGCAUGUACCUUAUGAAUAAGGACCGGCUAAUUCCGUGCCAGCAGCCGCGGUAAUACGGAAGGUCCGGGCGUUAUCCGGAUUUAUUGGGUUUAAAGGGAGCGUAGGCCGGAGAUUAAGCGUGUUGUGAAAUGUAGAUGCUCAACAUCUGCACUGCAGCGCGAACUGGUUUCCUUGAGUACGCACAAAGUGGGCGGAAUUCGUGGUGUAGCGGUGAAAUGCUUAGAUAUCACGAAGAACUCCGAUUG
Molecule: ribosomal RNA, 696 nt
Filed under: uncultured bacterium
Lineage: Bacteria
Description: bacterial SSU rRNA
Rfam family: Bacterial small subunit ribosomal RNA
Source: RNAcentral